GGUGAACGCUGGCGGCGUGCUUAACACAUGCAAGUCGAACGAGAACGGGUUAUAGCUUGCUAUAAUUGUCAGCUAAGUGGCACACGGGUGAGUAAUGUAUAGGUAAUAUGCCUCUUACUAAGGGAUAACAAAUGGAAACGUUUGCUAAUACCUUAUACUCCUUAUUAACAUAAGUUAAUAAGGGAAAGAUUUAUUGGUAAGAGAUUAGCCUGUAUUGUAUCAGUUAGUUGGUGGGGUAAUGGCUUACCAAGACUAUGACACAUAACUGGUUUGAGAGGAUGAUCAGUCACACUGGAACUGAGACACGGUCCAGACUCCUACGGGAGGCAGCAGUGGGGAAUAUUGCACAAUGGACGAAAGUCUGAUGCAGCAACGCCGCGUGGAGGAUGACACAUUUCGGUGCGUAAACUCCUUUUAUAUGAGAAGAUAAUGACGGUAUUAUAUGAAUAAGCACCGGCUAACUCCGUGCCAGCCGCCGCAGUAA
This 484-nucleotide ribosomal RNA is filed under the name uncultured bacterium. RNAcentral's name for it is "partial 16S ribosomal RNA". It matches the Rfam family "Bacterial small subunit ribosomal RNA", at positions 28 to 523 of the family's 1533-position model. The record is from RNAcentral.